This 703-nucleotide ribosomal RNA is filed under the name uncultured Staphylococcus sp. RNAcentral's name for it is "bacterial SSU rRNA". It matches the Rfam family "Bacterial small subunit ribosomal RNA", at positions 58 to 742 of the family's 1533-position model. Lineage: Bacteria; Bacillati; Bacillota; Bacilli; Caryophanales; Staphylococcaceae. The record is from RNAcentral.
CAAGUCGAGCGAACGGACGAGAAGCUUGCUUCUCUGAUGUUAGCGGCGGACGGGUGAGUAACACGUGGAUAACCUACCUAUAAGACUGGGAUAACUUCGGGAAACCGGAGCUAAUACCGGAUAAUAUUUUGAACCGCAUGGUUCAAAAGUGAAAGACGGUCUUGCUGUCACUUAUAGAUGGAUCCGCGCUGCAUUAGCUAGUUGGUAAGGUAACGGCUUACCAAGGGCAACGAUGCAUAGCCGACCUGAGAGGGUGAUCGGCCACACUGGAACUGAGACACGGUCCAGACUCCUACGGGAGGCAGCAGUAGGGAAUCUUCCGCAAUGGGCGAAAGCCUGACGGAGCAACGCCGCGUGAGUGAUGAAGGUCUUCGGAUCGUAAAACUCUGUUAUUAGGGAAGAACAUAUGUGUAAGUAACUGUGCACAUCUUGACGGUACCUAAUCAGAAAGCCACGGCUAACUACGUGCCAGCAGCCGCGGUAAUACGUAGGUGGCAAGCGUUAUCCGGAAUUAUUGGGCGUAAAGCGCGCGUAGGCGGUUUUUUAAGUCUGAUGUGAAAGCCCACGGCUCAACCGUGGAGGGUCAUUGGAAACUGGAAAACUUGAGUGCAGAAGAGGAAAGUGGAAUUCCAUGUGUAGCGGUGAAAUGCGCAGAGAUAUGGAGGAACACCAGUGGCGAAGGCGACUUUCUGGUCUGUAACUG